RNAcentral lists this ribosomal RNA (476 nucleotides) under uncultured bacterium. RNAcentral describes it as "SSU rRNA". It matches the Rfam family "Bacterial small subunit ribosomal RNA", at positions 26 to 521 of the family's 1533-position model. The record is from RNAcentral.
AGGAUAAACGCUGGCGGCGUGCAUGAGACAUGCAAGUCGAACGGACGAUCAGGGCUUGCUCUGAUCGUUAGUGGCGGACGGCUGAGUAACGCGUAGGUGACCUGCCCCGAAGUGGGGAAUAACUGCCCGAAAGGGUGGCUAAUACCGCAUGUGGUGGUGUGUUCAUUCACACCAGUAAAGCCGCAAGGCGCUUCGGGAGGGGCCUGCGUCCGAUUAGCUCGUUGGUGGGGUAACGGCUCACCAAGGCGACGAUCGGUAGGUGGUCUGAGAGGACGAUCACCCAGACUGGGGACUGAGACACGGCCCAGACUCCUACGGGAGGCAGCAGUCGGGAAUUUUGCGCAAUGGACGAAAGUCUGACGCAGCAACGCCGCGUGAGGGAUGAAGGCCUUCGGGUUGUAACCUCUUUUAUCAGGGAAGAUAAUGACGGUACCUGAUGAAUAAGUCACGGCUAACUACGUGCCAGCAGCCGCGGU